This is a non-coding RNA of Gossypium raimondii (Peruvian cotton), 86 nucleotides long. The record is from Rfam. Lineage: Eukaryota; Viridiplantae; Streptophyta; Magnoliopsida; Malvales; Malvaceae.
CACGUUAGAGCGCUUUGCUGACGUGGCAACAAUCUCGUCCACGUAAGCGCGAUUUGUUGCCACGUCAGCAAACCGCUCUGACGUGG